This 368-nucleotide ribosomal RNA is filed under the name uncultured Hyphomicrobium sp. Its description in RNAcentral is "bacterial SSU rRNA". It matches the Rfam family "Bacterial small subunit ribosomal RNA", at positions 527 to 896 of the family's 1533-position model. Lineage: Bacteria; Pseudomonadati; Pseudomonadota; Alphaproteobacteria; Hyphomicrobiales; Hyphomicrobiaceae. The record is from RNAcentral.
GAAGGGGACUAGCGUUGUUCGGAAUCACUGGGCGUAAAGCGCACGUAGGCGGAUUUGUAAGUCAGGGGUGAAAUCCCGGGGCUCAACCUCGGAACUGCCUUUGAUACUGCGAGUCUUGAGUCCGAUAGAGGUGGGUGGAAUUCCUAGUGUAGAGGUGAAAUUCGCAGAUAUUAGGAAGAACACCGGUGGCGAAGGCGGCCCACUGGAUCGGUACUGACGCUGAGGUGCGAAGGCGUGGGGAGCAAACAGGAUUAGAUACCCUGGUAGUCCACGCCGUAAACGAUGGAUGCUAGCCGUCGGAUAGCUUGCUAUUCGGUGGCGCAGUAACGCAUUAAGCAUCCCGCCUGGGGAGUACGGCCGCAAGGUUA